UUUUGUAAUUGGAAUGAUGGGAAUUUAAACCUCUUCCAGAGUAUCAAUUGGAGGGCAAGUCUGGUGCCAGCAGCCGCGGUAAUUCCAGCUCCAAUAGCGUAUAUUAAAAUUGUUGCAGUUAAAAAGCUCGUAGUUGAAUUUCUGCUGCAUUGCUUGUGUCCCUCUGGGGUCUGAACAUGUGGCUUUUUUCGGACGGAGUUUCUUUGUCUGAAUGUUUACUUUGAGAAAAUUAGAGUGCUCAAAGCAGGCUUUCGCCUUGAAUAGUUUAGCAUGGAAUAAUAAAGUAGGACUUUGGUUCUAUUUUGUUGGUUUUAGGUACCAAAGUAAUGGUUAAUAGGAACAGUUGGAAGCAUUCGUAUUUAACUGUCAGAGGUGAAAUUCUUAGAUUUGUUAAAGACGAUCUACUGCGAAAGCAUUUGCCAAGGAGCUGCCCCUAUCAAGAACGAAAGUUAGGGGAUC
Molecule: ribosomal RNA, 459 nt
Filed under: Theileria annulata
Lineage: Eukaryota; Apicomplexa; Aconoidasida; Piroplasmida; Theileriidae
Description: SSU rRNA
Rfam family: Eukaryotic small subunit ribosomal RNA
Source: RNAcentral